Molecule: ribosomal RNA, 547 nt
Filed under: uncultured Glomeraceae
Lineage: Eukaryota; Fungi; Glomeromycota; Glomeromycetes; Glomerales; Glomeraceae
Description: SSU rRNA
Rfam family: Eukaryotic small subunit ribosomal RNA
Source: RNAcentral
UUGGAGGGCAAGUCUGGUGCCAGCAGCCGCGGUAAUUCCAGCUCCAAUAGCGUAUAUUAAAGUUGUUGCAGUUAAAAAGCUCGUAGUUGAAUUUCGGGAUCAAUAUGUUGGUCGUGCCUUGGUACGUACUAGUUUAUUGGUUUCUUCCUUCUGACGAACCAUGAUGUCAUUAAUUUGGUGUCUUGGGGAAUCAGGACUGUUACUUUGAAAAAAUUAGAGUGUUUAAAGCAGGCUCACGCUUGAAUACAUUAGCAUGGAAUAAUGAAAUAGGACGUUUGAUUCUAUUUUGUUGGUUUCUAGGAUCGACGUAAUGAUUAAUAGGGAUAGUUGGGGGCAUUAGUAUUCAAUUGUCAGAGGUGAAAUUCUUGGAUUUAUUGAAGACUAACUACUGCGAAAACAUUUGCCAAGGAUGUUUUCAUUAAUCAAGAACGAAAGUUAGGGGAUCGAAGACGAUCAGAUACCGUCGUAGUCUUAACCAUAAACUAUGCCGACUAGGGAUCGGAUGAUGUUAAUUUUUUAAUGACUCAUUCGGCGCCUUACGGGAAAC